This 287-nucleotide long non-coding RNA is filed under the name Elaeis guineensis (African oil palm). Its description in RNAcentral is "long non-coding RNA (EGUI_LNC007038)". The record is from RNAcentral. Lineage: Eukaryota; Viridiplantae; Streptophyta; Magnoliopsida; Arecales; Arecaceae.
CUAGCAUCGAUCGUUGGAUGAGCCCGGUAACCACACAAGGCACUCGAGGCUUUCUAAAUAUGCUGUAAAAUUGAUUUGAAUAAUAAAUAUUAAACUCUAAAAUGGUUAAAUUUUAAAUAUUUUCAAUGAAGAUAUAGUACUUACGAGUGGCUUUGAAUAUGGACGAGUUCUUUAUCUUCCGACUGAGUCGGAGGUACUGCGAGCUGGAUGGUUCCUCUACCAUACCGCUGACUCUGAGAGUCAGAUGCUGCUCCGCAUGACUGUGGGAUCACUGAUGACCCUACGUC